GACGAACGCUGGCGGCGCGCUUAACACAUGCAAGUCGAGCGAGAACCAGGGCUUCGGCCCUGGGGAAAGCGGCGAACGGGUGAGUAACACGUGAGUAACCUGUCCUCGGCACCGGGAUAGCCCGGGGAAACCCGGAUUAAUACCGGAUGGCCUUUCGAGUCCUCGGGCUCGUCAGAAAAGGGAGCUUCGGCCUCCGGCCGAGGAGGGACUCGCGGCGGAUUAGCUUGUUGGUGGGGUAACGGCUCACCAAGGCGACGAUCCGUAGCUGGUCUGAGAGGACGAUCAGCCACACUGGGACUGAGACACGGCCCAGACUCCUACGGGAGGCAGCAGUGGGGAAUCUUGCGCAAUGGGCGAAAGCCUGACGCAGCGACGCCGCGUGCGGGAAGAAGGCCUU
Molecule: ribosomal RNA, 397 nt
Filed under: uncultured bacterium
Lineage: Bacteria
Description: bacterial SSU rRNA
Rfam family: Bacterial small subunit ribosomal RNA
Source: RNAcentral